RNAcentral lists this ribosomal RNA (400 nucleotides) under phytoplankton environmental sample. Its description in RNAcentral is "partial small subunit ribosomal RNA". It matches the Rfam family "Eukaryotic small subunit ribosomal RNA", at positions 587 to 987 of the family's 1831-position model. The record is from RNAcentral.
AGCUCCAUUAGCGUAUAUUAAAGUUGUUGCAGUUAAAAAGCUCGUAGUUGGAUUUCGGUUCGGGUCGGGGCGGUGGCGUCGCGAGACGUCUACCUCCCGGCCAGUCUCUCUUCCCGAAGACUGCGUGUGCUCUUCAGUGGGUGCGCGUCGGGACUCGGGACGUUUACUUUGAAAAAAUUAGAGUGCUCAAAGCAGGCUUUACACGCUUGAAUAUUCGUGCAUGGAAUAAUAGAAUAGGACGUCGUUUCUAUUUUGUUGGUUUUCGGAAAUCGACGUAAUGAUUAAUAGGGACAGUCGGGGGCAUUAGUAUUCAGACGACAGAGGUGAAAUUCUUGGACCGUCUGAAGACUAACUACUGCGAAAGCAUUUGCCAAGAAUGUUUUCAUUAAUCAAGAACGAA